GGGGUCGUGGUGUAACGGUAGCACAGCGGACUUUUAAUCCGCCGGGUGGGGGUUCGAGUCCCUCCGACCCUA
RNAcentral lists this transfer RNA (72 nucleotides) under Singulisphaera sp. RNAcentral's name for it is "tRNA-Lys". It matches the Rfam family "tRNA". Rfam says of the family: Transfer RNA (tRNA) molecules are approximately 80 nucleotides in length. The record is from RNAcentral. RNAcentral also lists the same sequence under 1 other name. Lineage: Bacteria; Pseudomonadati; Planctomycetota; Planctomycetia; Isosphaerales; Isosphaeraceae.